RNAcentral lists this ribosomal RNA (454 nucleotides) under uncultured bacterium. RNAcentral's name for it is "partial 16S ribosomal RNA". It matches the Rfam family "Bacterial small subunit ribosomal RNA", at positions 29 to 523 of the family's 1533-position model. The record is from RNAcentral.
AGCGAACGCUGGCGGCAGGCUUAACACAUGCAAGUCGAGCGCCGUAGCAAUACGGAGCGGCAGACGGGUGAGUAACACGUGGGAACGUGCCUUCUGGUUCGGAAUAACUCAGGGAAACUUGAGCUAAUACCGGAUAAGCCCUUCGGGGGAAAGAUUUAUCGCCGGAAGAUCGGCCCGCGUAAGAUUAGCUAGUUGGUGAGGUAAUGGCUCACCAAGGCUACGAUCUUUAGCUGGUCUGAGAGGAUGAUCAGCCACACUGGGACUGAGACACGGCCCAGACUCCUACGGGAGGCAGCAGUGGGGAAUAUUGGACAAUGGGCGGAAGCCUGAUCCAGCAACGCCGCGUGAGGGAUGACGGCCUUCGGGUUGUAAACCUCUUUCGCCUGUGACGAAGCGCAAGUGACGGUAACAGGUAAAGAAGCACCGGCCAACUACGUGCCAGCCGCCGCAGUAA